RNAcentral lists this long non-coding RNA (152 nucleotides) under Carlito syrichta (Philippine tarsier). RNAcentral describes it as "TTC28 antisense RNA 1 conserved region 2 (ENSTSYG00000026006.1)". It matches the Rfam family "TTC28 antisense RNA 1 conserved region 2". Lineage: Eukaryota; Metazoa; Chordata; Mammalia; Primates; Tarsiidae. The record is from RNAcentral.
AAAAUGGCAGAACAAAAGGUUAUAAGGGGGGCUGUAGAGAAGGAGGGACAAGAGCCAACACCAAAAAUAAGAAAGGAGGACAUGCAUGGAAAGAAACACAUGUGAAGAAAAAUAUACUGGUGUGUUAACAUCUCCAUGUGUGACAUCUUCUU